CCGAGAUUUUUUCCUGCUUGCAGGAAAUCUCCCACCCUUUGUGUACCAAAUCUUUUACUUUGGUGAAGCGUUUUCUUCACAGGAACCAUCGGCCCUCGGGCGGGUGUGUCUUCACCAAAGGAAUCCUUAACUCUUAAUUUUUAUAAUUGUCUGAGUUUAUAUCUUAAAUAAACA
RNAcentral lists this unclassified non-coding RNA (174 nucleotides) under uncultured fungus. Its description in RNAcentral is "sequence contains ITS1, 5.8S rRNA gene". Lineage: Eukaryota; Fungi. The record is from RNAcentral.